Non-coding RNA from Oryza sativa Japonica Group (Japanese rice), 3798 nucleotides. The record is from RefSeq and is a predicted model, not a curated record. NCBI's taxonomy places the organism in Eukaryota, Viridiplantae, Streptophyta, Magnoliopsida, Poales, Poaceae.
GUCCCUCUCCCUCUCCAGCGCCGCCACCGAGCGGCUCGCGCCGCCGCCGCCGCCGCCGCCACCCCUCGCGCCGCCAUCUCCACCAUCGCCGUCGCCGUCGCCUCGCCUCGUCACGGCCGCCUCCGCCAUCGCCUCCGCCACCUCCACCAUCGUCGUCGUCGUCGUCGUCGCCACCCCUCUCCCACCAUCGUCUCCGCCAUCGUUGUCGCCGUCGCCUCGCGCCACCACGGUCGCUGCCGCCUCCGACUUCCCCGUCGCCUCGCGUCGUCGUCGCCGUCGCCCGCCCCCGCCACCAUCUCCGGCCCCCCAAACCCUAGCCGCCGCCGCCCGCUCGUUCCGACGGGGAUUCGGAGGGGGUCGAAGGGAGGAAGAGGCGGUGGCGGUCGGCGAAGAGGACGACGAUGGCGACGGCGGCAGCGGCGGAGGAGGCAGACGCGGCGGUGGGAGAUGGAGACGGUGGUGAUGGCGGUCGGCGAAGAGGACGACGAUGGUGACGGCGGCGGCGGAGGAGGAGGCGGAUGUGGCGGCGGAGAGCGAGACGGUGGUGAUGGCGACGACCCCCGCACUCUCUCAUGGCAAUCUCGGGGGAGGUGUCGGGGACCACGGCAACGCUGGUGGUCAUCAAUGGAUUCACGGUCACGGUGGAGUCAGUCGGGGACUCGCGGUGCAUCCUGGACACGCAGGGUGGUGAGGUGCAGUUGCUGACCGUCGACAACUGCCUGGAGAAGAAUGCCGAGGAGCGGGAGCGGGUUAGCGCCAGUGGUGGGGAGGUCGGCCGGCUCAAUCUCUUCGGUGGUCAGGAGUUCUAGGUUGGCCCUCUCCGGUGCUAGACAGGUGGCAUGUGCCUUUCAAGAUCUAUUGGGGACCUCUUCCUGCCGCUCCCAUCAUCCCUCGUUGCCCGCCCCACAUCCCAUCAUCGACGGCGGCGUGGAUUUUGGUGGUCGCGCAGGUCUGGCUGACGAGCUCCAUGGCGGCUCGAAGCAGAUGGCGACCUCAACGGCAACGUGGAUCCAGGCUAGAGCUUGAUAAUGGCACUAAUCUGCCAACGAGCUUGGCGGCAACAUGCCCGGCGGCCGCCGUUAGUUCCUUACCCAGCGCCGUCUCCACCGUCUUCGCUGCCUCCACGGUCAUGGCCAGCGGCGGUUGACCAUGGCAUAUGCUCCGGCAGGCAAAAGCAGAGAGAUGGCCUUCCUCCCCUUUCUCUCCCAUCUCUCCUUAGAUUAAUCUUUCUCUCUCUCAGGCUGCCAUUGUUGUUCUUUUCAUGGAUAAAAUUGUUAGGGAUCGGCAAUAUUUCCUAUUCUAAUUGUGUCUUGACUGAAAAUUAGUUCGAUUAUAUUCAGAGCCCGUGGUUAGGUGAUCCGAGAUUGGUGCUUGCUGGCUGGAUUAGUCAAUUAGAAAAAGGUAGAUUUUGAUAUGCAGUAUUAAUUUGAUCUUGUGAUGAUCUUAGUUCUUGUACCCUGCCUUCCCUUGAGGCUACUUCCGGAUACCCAAGGCCCUAGCGCGAAGACGUGUGAGGGGGCUGCAGGUGAGUCGGGCUAUCGCCGUGGAGCGACCGUGGUGAAGCAGCAGCUCUACAGCGGCCGGAUCAGUGCGGUGGUCCGGUGGCUUUACGGUUGCUAGAGCUGUUGCUGUUUAGGGUCAACUAGGAGGAAGUGUCUGUGUGGUGAUUCAUCACAGUUGCGGCGGUCUCGACCUACAGCAUAUGUCCAUGAUCGAUGCGUGACAAGAGCCGAAAAGGAUCAUCCAUUGUUGAUGCAGUUUUUCAAGCAAGUGGAUAAGAGCAGCAAGUAUUAUGAAUUUCGCUGCAAAACUAGAUUAGUGAAACCAUCAAUCCUCCACUUUCAGAACCUAUACAAGGAAGGGCUCUUGGAGCAACUGCUACAGUCAACUGCUCUACUGGUUAGUUGGUCACUUGGUCGUCACUUGUCAGCCUGACAGUGCAGCAUCUAAAAGCUAACUUAUACAGUGUGCUUUAUCUCUGGCAUUGAUGGAAAGUUUCAAGAUUUGUGCAGUCAAUGAUGGCAUCAUAAAUUGCGUGGAUAUGUUCUUUGACAUGAAAAAAGCUUGAUGUUAAGUACAGAAGAACCAGGGCAAGUCACUAACUUUAUGGUAUUGGAGUUGGAGUAGAAGAUCAGCAGCUCCAUCAUCGACGAUGGCCUGAUCCACAAAGAUGGAUUUUGGUGGUGAUACUUCCAGGGAGAUAAUAUCUUAGGAUGAUCCUGCAUUUUGCAUGGACAGAAGUCUAACAACAGUGGAAUCUUAUCCUUUGGACUGCUAAAAGAUUCUGUCCAAAUAUUUGGUGUCUUGGCUGUAUGCAUCUCAAUUAUGCAGAGGUCUGCUGGGACAAGAAACCUUCGCCGGUGGAGAAUAGCUUGUGUACAAAAAGCACAGCUGUUACUGAAUGAAGCUGCUUCUUGGUCACAUCUUUGGUACCUCUAUGUGAAAGGCACUGACUACUUCCAAUCAAGUGGGUGUCCAUUUAGUUGCAACAAGCGGCGUUACGGCACAAUUAUAUCUGCAGAUUGUACUUUAGCUUGAGGUAGGAUGGUAAAUGCAAGAAGCCAAAGCGGAAGUAUAAGGCUGUACUAUUGGGCUUUUCACAGAUCAAGAGGCUAGAUCUCUUUCUCAUCUGUGGCCAAAAACAUUCAAGAUGAAACCUCCAGAAGGGCAAGAUAUUGGACUGUGCUUCAUUAGUUCUCUUCAAAGACCAAACGGGAGUUCUGACCAUCUCCUGAAAAAUAUUUCUUUGCAUAUUGGGUUACGAACCAAGGCUGGUGCUACUAGGAAAAUGUAAUAAGUUUUACUUUUGGGGUGUUUUCGGAGAGCUGCACAGAUACUAUAAUCAAACAGGUAAUGUUAAGAUUGGCAAUACCGACUCGUGAGACAAAUUUGAAGAUAUUGGCAUGAACUUGGACUUGACAAAUGGCAAAGAGUUAAACAGAGGCAAAUGUGGGAGUUAAAAGAGAGGCAAAUGUGGGGUUGAGGUGUCAUUUGAGAGGCACAAAUGUAAGGAAACUGGCAAGAUUUUGGAGACACAAGACAAAGAAACAUAGAAGGGAAAAUGUGGGGAGAUUAGUAAUAAAUUGGAUGUGGCAGUUAGCAGGUAAAGAGAUAGGAUCAACAAAUGUAUGAAAAUGCUGAAGACUCCUGAUCCAAAUGCUGCGGCAAGCUCUUUAGGAUGGUAACAGCAAAGAAGCUGAAGGGCAAGGAUGAGGCUGUACUGUUGAGCUCUUGGCAACUCAAGUAAAAGGGGUAGAAGGCUCGGAUGAUUCAGGUGCUGCUGUUCAUUGUCGGAAUAAACACUGCGCCAACUGGUCUUCGGGCCUUGUCUUCUGGCUCUGAUGCAAGGAUCGUACGCCGUUGUUACACUGAGAGUUUCCAUUAUACUGGCCUGCCAUCCCCGCAAUGAAGCAGGUCCUUAUGAGGGGGAAAAGGGUCGGGUGAUCCAGGCGCUGUUGCUGCUCUUCAUUAGCGGGAUUAACACGCUGUGCCAAUUGUUCUUUGGAUCUUGUCUCCUGGCUCUGAUGGAAUGGUUGUACCCUGUUGUAGAUCUUCUGUUAUUACAAAUAAUCUGGGAUUCAUAAAGUUCUUUGUUAGGCAAGGUUGCAUGCUUGGAUUGGAGUAGUUCCUGGAGAGUUUUGGUGCCUCGCCUGAAGUGUUUCCUGAGAUUUGCUUUGCUUGGAAAUGAAUGUAAUCUUUUUUUAUUGGCGGUUUUUGUUGGUUUGUAUCUUACUAAAUACAUGUAUUGCUCAUCUGGUAAUUCAGACUCAAGUGAGUUAGCCUAUGCUGAUGAUGUUA